CAACAAUCCACAUCACAAACAGACCAUAAGUUAAAUUUCCAAGAGUUGUAGCACUGAUGAAACAAAAGAAACAGCAUCUAGUUACCACCCACUUGCCUCUUCCAGGAAUCCUCCACUAUCAGUUCAUCCACCCCCCAAUCCUCAUAACUCCCAUCAGGAAGAUACCUACGAAUUGUAAAAGGUAUCUUGCGUUGCCGAAGCUCCUUCAUCGCAAUCUCCAACGGAUCAGACUCUCCCUCCAGUUCAACCAUCACGGGUGCAUUCAUGCUUAUUUGUAGAGCACGGGUACCCAAAAUUCUUGCCCUCUCAUACUUGGUCAUGUAUUUAGAUGUUUUACGAGGUCGUUCUAUUGGUGGCUCCUCCUUGUCUUCGCCCUCGCCUACAGGCACAUCAGCAACAUCUUCAUUGUUUUCUGCGUCCUCUUCCUCAAUCCCGUCCUCGAUCUCAGGCUCCG
RNAcentral lists this unclassified non-coding RNA (454 nucleotides) under Hevea brasiliensis (rubber tree). The record is from RNAcentral. Lineage: Eukaryota; Viridiplantae; Streptophyta; Magnoliopsida; Malpighiales; Euphorbiaceae.